RNAcentral lists this long non-coding RNA (3954 nucleotides) under Apis mellifera (honey bee). Its description in RNAcentral is "uncharacterized LOC113218883". Lineage: Eukaryota; Metazoa; Arthropoda; Insecta; Hymenoptera; Apidae. The record is from RNAcentral.
ACAUUAAGUGCACGAACAACAUUCACAUAAGACUGUCUGCGAGAUGAUCUGAUCUGUCGCCCAGGGCAAAGAGAAACCUGCUCCGCUAGUUACUAUUAAUCGGAAAUUGUUUAACUCGUCUGAUAAACAUCUGAUUGGUCUAUAAGUAUACAGCGUGCAAUAACGUUCGUUGUUAUCAAUCGCGAAAUGUAUAAUCCCAUACCUUAAUACGAUGCUACUUCUCUUUCAGCACAUAAUCAUUUAGAACACAUCCAGAACAUUGAAACAACUUUAUCGUAUUACUGAUUGCACGACUCUUCCAUUUGUGAAAAUUACACCCACUAAAUUUUAUCACCGUUAUGUGCGUCGUCAUCUAAUAUUACAUGCGCGAAAUUGAAAACGCGCAUUUAAAUUCAGACACUCAUCCCUCUGGUGGUGGAAUAGAGUACUUGAUCCGUAGGGACGAGAAAAACAAUGAACCGUAGUAAGGGUUAGAUCGAAAUAAAGAGAUGGGAUUUCUUUUGUAGAGUUUGACUCUCUGAAGUACUUUCAAGAUGAAUGACUAACACGCUGUGUCAAUUUUUCUUCUCUUUGUAAAAAAGGAAACUGUAACGCUUCAUGCUGUAUCGAUUGACAUCAUUAUCAUUACCACUUUUGCGUAAAAGGAAAUUGAAAUCGCUCUUUAAUCAAGCAUACAGUGUAAGGAGAAAAACCAUCAAGAAAGCACGUCAACAACGGAUUGGAAAAUUAGAGCAGAGAUGAGCGCGUGCAAUGGAUUCGGAAAGAUCUGUCAUCGCUUUCGAAAAUUUCUCCCUUUUUCCUCGAGGCAGGCGAAAGACCCCUUUACAACUACCCAAGUUGCGGGGAAGCUACGAGAAACGGCCCUGAUGGCCUGUAAACAAGUGAAACAGAACUUUCACGGCCACGAGCUCGACCUGGUCACUUCGUUUUAGGUGUACAGAUAUUACAUAUAUAGUACAUACGAAGUCGGACAAAAAAACGAAGCAGAAACAGCAACGGUUAUCCCAGCCUGGUCUCUGUGAGAGCAGAAUCGACGCAUAAAAAGGAAACAGGUUAUCGAAUUAAAGCGAUACCGGUCCCGAGACGUGUAAUUUCUAUCCCCAGGCUAUUCCAGAAUAAUAUUUGGAGGGCAACGGUACACGCCUUGGGCGAAUCUUUCAAUAUUUUCCAUCUUUGAUUCUCGAUUUAUGACACGUCUUUCCACUAUAGUACCAUGGAAACCCAGGCGAAAAAAUGCUUCACUACGCAAUAAGAUCGUUUUCGUUUACUUACGAACUCGGAUAGAUCAUAUUACACCUCGACGCCAUGGUUCGGAGAUGUUCAAGAUAGUGUCUAGGACGCGUGACGAGCAUACACUUUUCUAACACACUCCAAUGGAUUUCCAGUUAGAUAAUAAUAAAAGUAAAAAAAAAAAAAAGAAAAAAAAGAAGAAAAAGAAAAAAAAGAGCAUUUAUCGAUUGCACGUGCGAAAAGUAUAGUGUAAAAGUAAACGUUUCGCGGAAAAAGGUUAUGUUACGCGUUCAACCGCGAAAUACAGUAUCACGAUUGUUUACUAAAUUACACAAUUACGCGUUACAGAGAAACGAGUUGGAAAAAUAUAACAAUGAAAUGUGCAAAUUGAUUUUAUAUCAUUACUUUAUUGCUUUUUUUCACGUUAAUGUUUUACAAGAAUCUUAUCAUUUCAAUAUUUGCAAUUACGACACAAUGACUGUGUUUUUUCUACAAUAUCGAUCACUUUAUCGUGUUAUUCGUAAUAGAUUAAUUUAUUUAUCUGUCGAUCAUGAACAAUGUUAAAGCUUCUAAAUGUAUAAAUUAAAAAAAUUACUCGAAGUUAUAUACGUACGUAUAUAAACUGACAUGUACUCUGCACGCAUGUGCGACCGUUAAAUUUUUCGUCACUUUCGUGAAGUUUGCCGCGUUUGUUUCUAUUUCCCACACACACGCGUGUCUUUCUACCCUCCUGCAGCAGUGACAGUGAAUUAAAACAACACUUCGUGUGCUCGUGUCCGUUUAUAUUUAGAGCGUGGAUGCACAAGAAAACGUAAGAGGCUACUUGGUAAGAGCGGAGUCACGUUGCUUAUAACGUUACAUGAUAUCGAUCGCCAGACUGUUAUCCGAUAACGAAAGUUAUUACUAAUGUAUCAAUAAAGAUUACUUAUUAUUUUUUUACUUUUGUAUCAGAUAAUAAUGCAAGUUAUUAAUAUGUAAAUUGAAUGUAUGUUUUCCGAGCAAAAAUAUUUCCUUCCGUAGGAGUCGAAUAAAGAUUUUUACGAAUAAGAAACGAAGACAAUCGGCUUUGUCUGGUGUAGAAAAGUCAAUAUUAUCGUGUCUAUCGAUACGAAUAAUGACUUAUAUACCUCGACUGUUUAUAAAUGGAAUGGAUAUUUCAGAGAAAAAUUAAAUUCGUUAAUUGUUUUUAGAAAAAAACAAUAGCGAUUUUCGAAGUAUACAAAAAUGACCGAUGUAUUGAUUAAAAUUUUCAAUAAUUGAAAUAAUCUAUGACAAAAAUUCUGGGAAUCCUUGUUAUAUAUUUUUUCUUUGACCCUAAUAUUUUCUUCCCGGUCGUUUCUUCAAAAGUACACCGUUAAGGUGUACUUUACAUAUUUUAUCGAAGUAUGAUAAACAAUAUGGUUGACACUUUUCUCGGUAUAGUAAUGUUUUGCACUGUAAAUGUGAGACCAUUGUCCGUUUGUCAAUACAAGGUACCGUAUGUGCACCAGUGCGAUCAGACUGCGCUUUCGUUAUACAAAUGCACUCGCAAACAUAUAUGGUUCCCUUCUCGUGACUCGCAUUCACUAUGAUCAAAUAAUAAAAUAAUGUCAACCGAGUACUUAUUUUCUUUUUUAAAGGAUAAAAAAUUUAAAUGCUCAUAUGUUUCAACGACUUUUUUUCAAUUUUUUCUCAAGAAUAAAUAUAAAUGUUCUCCUAACCUAAAAUAAUCUAAACUCUUAACGCUUCUGAAAACACUAUAAUAAUGCACUGUGCAUCAUCAUAUAUAUAUAUAUAUGUGCAUCAUCAGUGAGACUGUAUUCGUUAUUACACGUUUAACUUAUGUAUAGUUUACACAUACAUGUUCAUGAAUACACGUGCGUACGCUAUUAUGAGUAGACAAGCGUGAGAUUCCUGGACAGACGCCUCUCGGUUCGUGUAUGCAUCUGCAUUUGCGUCGAAUGAGGUUAACGUUAAUGAGGCACAAACAUCUCCAGACACUGUAGUCAGACCUUCCCUUUUAUUCACCCUGUCACGAGCCCUUGCGGCUAUACUGCGCGUGCACACCAUUGAAAGGUGAUUUUUUCAAACCGACCAUUCGUUCGUUCCACUCGAUCAACGAACUACAACUACGUGGUCAACGCACGCGGCUUUGCGAGGAAACAGCCGGUUCUGACACACAAAGGGUUUCGAAAGAUUUUAGAAAUAAUUUACGAUUUCACGCGUUACAAAAAUUCUUAUUAGAUUCGUUAAGAAUAUCGGAAUCGCGCAUAACAAAAAUAACAUAACCUCUAAAUAUAAAUAAUGUUCCUUCGGGUAAAGAAUAUUCAUCUUGAAGAUCAGAAUAUGUCAUAUUACAUGCACGGUAAUAAAUCAUCGCAUAGGAAUAAUUAAUAUCGCAUCAAAAACUUUCUCUAUAUUGCAGAAAGAAAUUAAGAUGAAAGAUUUGAAAGGAUCCAUUAAACUUCUCGCAGCGAACAAAACAAAACCCUACCUUACCAUCGAAACAAAAAGCGAUACAAAAAUGUUCGAUAUGUAUAUAUAUAUAUAUAUAUAUAUAGAACCAGGUAGAAAUCUUUUGAAUGUGGUCUUCUUUCCAAAGACCAUAUAUCACUUGGUCUUGGGUCACCAAUAAAUACAAAGUGUACGAUGCCUGUGUACCGUUAUUCGUUCUAGAGACUUGGUCCUUAUCAAAUGCACGCUAUUGCACAACAUUUAAGUAUCGAGAUGUGAUAAAAAAAGUAA